Molecule: unclassified non-coding RNA, 260 nt
Filed under: Hevea brasiliensis (rubber tree)
Lineage: Eukaryota; Viridiplantae; Streptophyta; Magnoliopsida; Malpighiales; Euphorbiaceae
Source: RNAcentral
UGUUAGGGUUUUUUUUUUAAUUAAAAUGCUUUCAUACCUUGCUUAUAGCUCUCUACAAACACGAACGAAGGGAGCCUGACAAACUAUUUUUUCAAAGGGAGGAAAUGACCAUACAGGUAAAAUGGAAACUAUAGGUAAAGCAAAGCUAAAAACCAUAUAUUGAGAGAUCAUAAGAAUACAAAAGCCAAUAAAACAAGANAAUGAAAACGGGUCAGGACCUAACCACUAGCAGAAGACGAGUCACCAUAUAUAUAUAUAUA